GCAUAUCAAUAAGCGGAGGAAAAGAAACUAACAAGGAUUCCCCUAGUAACUGCGAGUGAAGCGGGAAAAGCUCAAAUUUAAAAUCUGGCGGUCUUUGGCCGUCCGAGUUGUAAUCUAGAGAAGUGUUAUCCGCGCUGGACCGUGUACAAGUCUCCUGGAAUGGAGCGUCAUAGAGGGUGAGAAUCCCGUCUUUGACACGGACUGCCAGGGCUUUGUGAUGCGCUCUCAAAGAGUCGAGUUGUUUGGGAAUGCAGCUCAAAAUGGGUGGUAAAUUCCAUCUAAAGCUAAAUAUUGGCGAGAGACCGAUAGCGAACAAGUACCGUGAGGGAAAGAUGAAAAGAACUUUGGAAAGAGAGUUAAACAGUACGUGAAAUUGCUGAAAGGGAAACGCUUGAAGUCAGUCGCGUUGGCCGGGGAUCAACCUUGCUUUUGCUGGGCGUACUUUCCGGUCGACGGGUCAGCAUCAAUUUUGACCGGUGGAUAAAGGCUGAGGGAAUGUGGCUCCUUCGGGAGUGUUAUAGCCCUCUGUCGCAUACAUCGAUUGGGAUUGAGGAACUCAGCACGCCGAAAGGCCGGGUACUUGUACCACGUUCGUGCUUAGGAUGCUGGCAUAAUGGCUUUAAUCGACCCGUCUUGAAACACGGACCAAGGAGUCUAACAUGCCUGCGAGUGUUUGGGUGGAAAACCCGAGCGCGUAAUGAAAGUGAAAGUUGAGAUCCCUGUCGCGGGGAGCAUCGACGCCCGGACCAGACCUUUUGUGACGGAUCCGCGGUAGAGCAUGUAUGUUGGGACCCGAAAGAUGGUGAACUAUGCCUGAAUAGGGUGAAGCCAGAGGAAACUCUGGUGGAGGCUCGUAGCGAUUCUGACGUGCAAAUCGAUCGUCAAAUUUGGGUAUAGGGGCGAAAGAAUAUCCCCAACCAUCUAGUAGCUGGUUCCUGCC
Molecule: ribosomal RNA, 940 nt
Filed under: Psilocybe quebecensis
Lineage: Eukaryota; Fungi; Basidiomycota; Agaricomycetes; Agaricales; Agrocybaceae
Description: LSU rRNA
Rfam family: Eukaryotic large subunit ribosomal RNA
Source: RNAcentral